RNAcentral lists this ribosomal RNA (497 nucleotides) under uncultured bacterium. Its description in RNAcentral is "partial 16S ribosomal RNA". It matches the Rfam family "Bacterial small subunit ribosomal RNA", at positions 28 to 507 of the family's 1533-position model. The record is from RNAcentral.
GAUGAACGCUGGCGGCGUGCCUAAUACAUGCAAGUCGAGCGAACGGACGAUAAGCUUGCUUCUCUGAUGUUAGCGGCGGACGGGUGAGUAACACGUGGAUAACCUACUUAUAAUUCUGGGAUAACUUCGGGAAACCGUAGCUAAUACCGGAUAAUAUUUUGAACCGCAUGGUUCAAAAGUGAAAGACGGUCUUGCUGUCACUUAUAGAUGGAUCCGCGCUGCAUUAGCUAGUUGGUAAGGUAACGGCCUACCAAGGCAACGAUGCAUAGCCGACCUGAGAGGGUGAUCGGCCACACUGGAACUGAGACACGGUCCAGACUCCUACGGGAGGCAGCAGUAGGGAAUCUUCCGCAAUGGGCGAAAGCCUGACGGAGCAACGCCGCGUGAGUGAUGGAGGUCUUCGGAUCGUAAAACUCUGUUAUUAGGGAAGAACAUAUGUGUAAGAAACUGUGCACAUCUUGACGGUACCUAAUCAGAAAGCCACGGCUAACUACGUG